AUUGAACGCUGGCGGCAGGCCUAACACAUGCAAGUCGAACGAGUGGCGGACGGGUGAGUAAUGUCUGGGAAACUGCCUGAUGGAGGGGGAUAACUACUGGAAACGGUAGCUAAUACCGCAUACCAUCGGAUGUGCCCAGAUGGGAUUAGCUAGUAGGUGGGGUAAAGGCUCACCUAGGCGACGAUCCCUAGCUGGUCUGAGAGGAUGACCAGCCAAAAUGGAACCGAGACACGGUCCAGGCUCCCAAGGGGGGGAGGAGUGGGGAAUAAUGGACAAUGGGCGCAAGCCUGAUGCAGCCAAGCCCGGUGUAAGAAGAAGGCCUUUGGGUUUGAAAGUACUUUUAGCGGGGAGGCGUUACCCGCAGAAGAAGCACCGGCUAACUCCGUGCCAGCCGCCGCGGUAAUUC
RNAcentral lists this ribosomal RNA (406 nucleotides) under uncultured bacterium. RNAcentral's name for it is "partial 16S ribosomal RNA". It matches the Rfam family "Bacterial small subunit ribosomal RNA", at positions 29 to 526 of the family's 1533-position model. The record is from RNAcentral.